CCUACGGGUGGCAGCAGUGAGGAAUAUUGGUCAAUGGACGAGAGUCUGAACCAGCCAAGUAGCGUGAAGGAUGACUGCCCUAUGGGUUGUAAACUUCUUUUAUAUGGGAAUAAACUGUUCCACGUGUGGGCUUUUGUAUGUACCAUAUGAAUAAGGAUCGGCUAACUCCGUGCCAGCAGCCGCGGUAAUACGGAGGAUCCGAGCGUUAUCCGGAUUUAUUGGGUUUAAAGGGAGCGUAGGUGGAUUGUUAAGUCAGUUGUGAAAGUUUGCGGCUCAACCGUAAAAUUGCAGUUGAAACUGGCAGUCUUGAGUACAGUAGAGGUGGGCGGAAUUCGUGGUGUAGCGGUGAAAUGCUUAGAUAUCACGAGGAACCCCGAUUGCGAAGGCAGCCUGCCAGGGUGCGACUGACGCUGAGGCUCGAAGGUGCGGGUAUCAAACAGGAUUAGAUACCCGAGUAGUC
RNAcentral lists this ribosomal RNA (460 nucleotides) under uncultured bacterium. RNAcentral's name for it is "partial 16S ribosomal RNA". It matches the Rfam family "Bacterial small subunit ribosomal RNA", at positions 338 to 795 of the family's 1533-position model. The record is from RNAcentral.